RNAcentral lists this ribosomal RNA (376 nucleotides) under uncultured bacterium. RNAcentral describes it as "bacterial SSU rRNA". It matches the Rfam family "Bacterial small subunit ribosomal RNA", at positions 28 to 389 of the family's 1533-position model. The record is from RNAcentral.
AACGAACGCUGGCGGCAGGCCUAACACAUGCAAGUCGAGCGGCAGCGGGUUCCCGCGAGGGGAUGCCGGCGAGCGGCGGACGGGUGAGGAACACAUCGGAAUCUGCCUGGUUGUGGGGGAUAACGUAGGGAAACUUACGCUAAUACCGCAUGAGACCCUGAGUCGACGGACUGGGGGUGAAAGUGAGGGACCUUCGGGCCUCACGCGACCAGAUGAGCCGAUGUCGGAUUAGCUAGUUGGCGGGGUAACGGCCCGCCAAGGCGACGAUCCGUAGCUGGUCUGAGAGGAUGAUCAGCCACACUGGGACUGAGACACGGCCCAGACUCCUACGGGAGGCAGCAGUGGGAAUCUUGGACAAUGGGCGCAAGCCUGAUCC